GGCUAGGAAAGGAAUGUAGGAGGCAGUAAGUUGAUAGUAAAUGAAUCUUGUGGUUUCAGCAGCAUGAACUCCUUCAGUUGUUCUUUGUGUCGACUGAUGUUCAACCUGCUGUUGAUGAUUCACAGUUUCAUUCUGAGACUCUGAAACUUUCUCUUCUCUUCCAGAAUCAAACACUGGAUGGAUCGUUGCUGCUGCAGUUCUUGCUGUUGGUUUCAUCGUUCUGGCUGUGGCUUUAGUUAUACAACACAUCAGACUGAAUCGUCUUAUAGACGACAAGAAGAGACGACCGCUGGACGACUGCAGUCAGUCAGAGAAGCUGCAGGAUCCAGAAACUCCACGUGAGCUGUGAACAACAUCUUUCCAUGGUUUCAGCUUUGACCGCAGCUCUUUGAAGCAGCUCGUCUUCUUCUGCAGCGACUGGAGAAUCGCCUCCAUCUGCCCUUUAUCUCCACACAUUCACACAACAGUGGUGGAGGGAAACGCUCCUUACUUUGCUCUUUAUUUAGCUGCUUUUAAGGGUCAAUGGAUGAAAACUUGACUUUUCAGUGAUCAGAGAGUGAGGACGUUGUGAAGAACAAAACAAGACUUUUGUCUUCAGACGAGCUCCAACAACACGACGUAGAAACUAGUUUGUUUCUAACGUAACGCCUUUAAAAUGCUCCACAACAGUUCAACACUAACAGUCUGUUAACUGUCAUUUAUUGAUCAGACCUCACACUGUUUACAUUUAUCAUACUGGAGGUUAUUUAUUCAUCAUUACAACAAGAGUAUUAUUAAUAUAAAGUGCUGUAUAAAUGUCUCCAGGUACCAAAUAUUAUCUGCUGCUUGGAGUUCUUAAAGGUCCAAAGUGAGACAUGAACAGAAACAUGAGACUUCACUGAACUGAAGGAAAACUAAUGUCAACAUUUUGAAGCUAAAGUCAAAUAUUAUGAGACUGUUUUUAUUCUGAUCUUGUUUUUAUAUUGUCAUUAUUUGUGACGAUCAUGUUGUGUUUGUUUUUAUUUGUUAAGGUGCUCA
Long non-coding RNA from Centropristis striata (black sea bass), 1017 nucleotides. RefSeq lists it as uncharacterized. The transcript is spliced from 2 exons. NCBI's taxonomy places the organism in Eukaryota, Metazoa, Chordata, Actinopteri, Perciformes, Serranidae. The record is from RefSeq and is a predicted model, not a curated record.